CUUGAUCGACCCCAGCAGCAGCGGCUCGUCCCGGUCCUGACCGUAGGUCGCCAGCAGCGCCUGCGCCUC
Molecule: antisense RNA, 69 nt
Filed under: Saccharopolyspora flava
Lineage: Bacteria; Bacillati; Actinomycetota; Actinomycetes; Pseudonocardiales; Pseudonocardiaceae
Description: ASpks TB sRNA
Rfam family: ASpks TB sRNA
Source: RNAcentral